Molecule: ribosomal RNA, 344 nt
Filed under: Epiperipatus brasiliensis
Lineage: Eukaryota; Metazoa; Onychophora; Udeonychophora; Euonychophora; Peripatidae
Description: partial large subunit ribosomal RNA
Source: RNAcentral
AGACUAGAAUGAAUGGAUUUAUGAAGCAAUACUUUCUUAGAUUAAAAAUUAAAAAUAAUUUUUUUAGUGAAGAGACUAAAAUGAAAUUGAGGGACGAGAAGACCCUAUUAAGCUUAAUAAAAUUAUUUUGUUGGGGAAACAGAAGAAAAAAUUUUCUUUUUAAAAAAGUUUGAUAAAAUUGAUUUAUUAUUAAUAAUAAAAGAACAAGUUACUAUAGGGAUAACAGCAUAAUGUUUUUUGAAAGUUCUUAUUUACAAAAGGGAUUAUGACCUCGAUGUUGGAUUAAAAUUAUUAUAUAAUGUAGUUGUUAUAUAAAUUAGUCUGUUCGACUAUUAAAUUUUUAC